GAUGAACGCUGGCGGCGUGCUUAACACAUGCAAGUCGAACGGAAAGGCCGAAGCUUGCUUCGGUACUCGAGUGGCGAACGGGUGAGUAACACGUGGGUGAUCUGCCCUGUACUUCGGGAUAAGCUUGGGAAACUGGGUCUAAUACCGGAUAUGACAAUCUCUUGGAUGGGGUUGUGGAAAGCUUUUGCGGUAUGGGAUGAGCUCGCGGCCUAUCAGCUUGUUGGUGGGGUAAUGGCCUACCAAGGCGUCGACGGGUAGCCGGCCUGAGAGGGUGUACGGCCACAUUGGGACUGAGAUACGGCCCAGACUCCUACGGGAGGCAGCAGUGGGGAAUAUUGCACAAUGGGCGCAAGCCUGAUGCAGCGACGCCGCGUGGGGGAUGACGGCCUUCGGGUUGUAAACUCCUUUCGCAACCGACGAAGCUUUUUGUGACGGUAGGUUGAGAAGAAGCACCGGCUAACUACGUG
This 467-nucleotide ribosomal RNA is filed under the name uncultured bacterium. RNAcentral describes it as "partial 16S ribosomal RNA". It matches the Rfam family "Bacterial small subunit ribosomal RNA", at positions 28 to 507 of the family's 1533-position model. The record is from RNAcentral.